UAACGCGUGACAAUUUGGCUUCAGUGUCGGGGACAACAGUUGGAAACGACUGCUAAUACCGGAUGUGCCGGAAGGUGAAAGGCUUGCUGCCUGAAGAUAAGCUCGCGUCUGAUUAGCUAGUUGGUAGUGUAAGGGACUACCAAGGCGACGAUCAGUAGCUGGUCUGAGAGGAUGAUCAGCCACACUGGGACUGAGACACGGCCCAGACUCCUACGGGAGGCAGCAGUGGGGAAUUUUCCGCAAUGGGCGAAAGCCUGACGGAGCAAUACCGCGUGAGGGAGGAAGGCUCUUGGGUCGUAAACCUCUUUUCUCAAGGAAGAAAAAAAUGACGGUACUUGAGGAAUAAGCAUCGGCUAACUCCGUGCCAGCAGCCGCGGUAAUACGGAGGAUGCAAGCGUUAUCCGGAAUGAUUGGGCGUAAAGGGUCCGCAGGUGGAACUGAAAGUCUGCUGUUAAAGAAUCUGGCUCAACCAGGAUAAAAGCAGUGGAAACUACAGAACUAGAGUGCGUUCGGGGCAGAAGGAAUUCCUGGUGUAGCGGUGAAAUGCGUAUAUAUCAGGAAGAACACCGGUGGCGAAAGCGUUCUGCUAGGCCGUAACUGACACUGAGGGACGAAAGCUAGGGGAGCGAAUGGGAUUAGAUACCCCAGUAGUCCUAGCCGUAAACGAUG
RNAcentral lists this ribosomal RNA (669 nucleotides) under Anabaena torulosa A525. RNAcentral's name for it is "bacterial SSU rRNA". It matches the Rfam family "Bacterial small subunit ribosomal RNA", at positions 111 to 811 of the family's 1533-position model. The record is from RNAcentral. Lineage: Bacteria; Bacillati; Cyanobacteriota; Cyanophyceae; Nostocales; Nostocaceae.